Molecule: small RNA, 74 nt
Filed under: Xanthomonas citri pv. citri
Lineage: Bacteria; Pseudomonadati; Pseudomonadota; Gammaproteobacteria; Lysobacterales; Lysobacteraceae
Description: sX9
Source: RNAcentral
AUGCACACACGUCCAGUCCCACUCCUGUGCGCUGUCUACACCGCCUGACGACUGCUCGCGAGAGUGUGCUAGCC